AGUGAACGCUGGCGGCAGGCCUAAUACAUGCAAGUCGAACGGCAGCACAGUGGAGCUUGCUCCAUGGGUGGCGAGUGGCGGACGGGUGAGGAAUACAUGGGAAUCUGCCCAGUCGUGGGGAUAACGUAUGGAAACGUACGCUAAUACCGCAUGCGCCCUUCGGGGGAAAGUCGGGGACCGCAAGGCCUGACGCGAUUGGAUGAGCCCAUGUUCGAUUAGCUAGUUGGCGGGGUAACGGCCCACCAAGGCGACGAUCGAUAGCUGGUCUGAGAGGAUGAUCAGCCACACUGGAACUGAGACACGGUCCAGACUCCCUACGGGAGGCAGCAGUAGGGAAUAUUGGACAAUGGGCGCAAAGCCUGAUCCAGCCAUGCCGCGUGAGUGAAGAAGGCCCUCGGGUUGUAAAGCUCUUUGUUGGGAAGAAAGCAGUU
Molecule: ribosomal RNA, 431 nt
Filed under: uncultured bacterium
Lineage: Bacteria
Description: bacterial SSU rRNA
Rfam family: Bacterial small subunit ribosomal RNA
Source: RNAcentral